AGUCAAGUAAUUAAGUGCAUGUGGUGGAUGCCUUGGCAGUCAGAGGCGAUGAAAGACGUGAUAGCCUGCGAAAAGCUCCGGGGAGGCGGCAAAUAUCCUUUGAUCCGGAGAUGUCUGAAUGGGGGAACCCACCUACUUUAAGGUAGGUAUUGCAACAUGAAUACAUAGUGUUGCAAGGCGAACGAGGGGAAGUGAAACAUCUCAGUACCCUUAGGAAAAGAAAUCAAUUGAGAUUCCCUCAGUAGCGGCGAGCGAACGGGGAUCAGCCCAUUAAGUUAUGUGUGUUUUAGUGGAACGCUCUGGGAAGUGCGAACGUAGAGGGUGAUAUUCCCGUACACGAAAGGGCACACAUAAUGAUGACGAGUAGGGCGAGGCACGUGAAACCUUGUCUGAAUAUGGGGGGACCAUCCUCCAAGGCUAAAUACUCCUGACUGACCGAUAGUGAACCAGUACCGUGAGGGAAAGGCGAAUAGAACCCCUGUGAGGGGAGUGAAAUAGAUCCUGAAACCGCAUGCAUACAAGCAGUGGGAGCACCUUCGUGGUGUGACUGCGUACCUUUUGUAUAAUGGGACAGCGACUUAUAUUCAGUAGCGAGGUUACCGUAUAGGGGAGCCGUAGAGAAAUCGAGUCUUAAUAGGGCGUUUAGUUGCUGGGUAUAGACCCGAAACCAGGCGAUCUAUCCAUGAGCAGGUUGAAGGUUGGGUAACACUAACUGGAGGACCGAACCCACUGUCGUUGAAAAGCAAGGGGAUGACUUGUGGAUAGGGGUGAAAGGCUAAUCAAGCCUGGUGAUAGCUGGUUCUCCCCGAAAGCUAUUUAGGUAGCGCCUCGGACGAAUACCAUAGGGGUUAGAGCACUGUUUCGGCUAGGGGGUCAUCCCGACUUA
RNAcentral lists this ribosomal RNA (886 nucleotides) under Acinetobacter baumannii. RNAcentral describes it as "partial 23S ribosomal RNA". It matches the Rfam family "Bacterial large subunit ribosomal RNA", at positions 1 to 938 of the family's 2925-position model. The record is from RNAcentral. Lineage: Bacteria; Pseudomonadati; Pseudomonadota; Gammaproteobacteria; Moraxellales; Moraxellaceae.